Molecule: ribosomal RNA, 393 nt
Filed under: uncultured bacterium
Lineage: Bacteria
Description: bacterial SSU rRNA
Rfam family: Bacterial small subunit ribosomal RNA
Source: RNAcentral
CGCGUAUGCAAUCUACCUCUUUACGAGGGAUAGCCCAGAGAAAUUUGGAUUAAUACCUCAUAGCAUAGCAGCUUCGCAUGAAGUCACUAUUAAAGUUCCAACGGUAAAAGAUGAGCAUGCGUCCUAUUAGCUAGAUGGUAAGGUAACGGCUUACCAUGGCUACGAUAGGUAGGGGUCCUGAGAGGGAGAUCCCCCACACUGGUACUGAGACACGGACCAGACUCCUACGGGAGGCAGCAGUGAGGAAUAUUGGACAAUGGGCGCAAGCCUGAUCCAGCCAUGCCGCGUGCAGGAAGAAGCAUCUAUGGUGUGUAAACUGCUUUUGUACGGGAAGAAACACUCCUACGUGUAGGAGCUUGACGGUACCGUAAGAAUAAGGAUCGGCUAACUCCG